UAAGUCAGGGAUCUGCUUUCU
RNAcentral lists this non-coding RNA (21 nucleotides) under Caenorhabditis elegans. The record is from RNAcentral. Lineage: Eukaryota; Metazoa; Nematoda; Chromadorea; Rhabditida; Rhabditidae.